AGUGAGCGCUGGCGGUAUGCCUAACACAUGCAAGUCGAACGGCAGCACAGUAAGAGCUUGCUCUUACGGGUGGCGAGUGGCGGACGGGUGAGGAAUACAUCGGAAUCUACUUUUUCGUGGGGGAUAACGUAGGGAAACUUACGCUAAUACCGCAUACGACCUACGGGUGAAAGCAGGGGAUCUUCUGACCUUGCGCGAUUGAAUGAGCCGAUGUCGGAUUAGCUAGUUGGCGGGGUAAAGGCCCACCAAGGCGACGAUCCGUAGCUGGUCUGAGAGGAUGAACAGCCACACUGGAAGUGAGACACGGCACAGACUCCUACGGGAGGCAGCAGUGGGGAAUAUUGGACAAUGGGGGAAAGCCUGAUCCAGCCAUACCGCGUGGGUGAAGAAGGCCUUCGGGUUGUAAAGCCCUUUUGUUGGGAAAGAAAAGCAGCAGGUUAAUACCCCGCUGUUCUGACGGUACCCAAAGAAUAAGCACCGGCUAACUUCGUG
This 492-nucleotide ribosomal RNA is filed under the name uncultured bacterium. Its description in RNAcentral is "partial 16S ribosomal RNA". It matches the Rfam family "Bacterial small subunit ribosomal RNA", at positions 29 to 507 of the family's 1533-position model. The record is from RNAcentral.